This 78-nucleotide transfer RNA is filed under the name Plutella xylostella (diamondback moth). Its description in RNAcentral is "tRNA-Glu". Lineage: Eukaryota; Metazoa; Arthropoda; Insecta; Lepidoptera; Plutellidae. The record is from RNAcentral.
AUCGGAGCGGUGGUAGCUCAGUCGGGUGAGCGCCCGCUUCUCACGCAAGAGAUGCGGGUUUAAAUCCCGGCGCUGACA